Molecule: ribosomal RNA, 884 nt
Filed under: Cosmocercidae sp. 126_Pa614_Ishigaki_KUZR77006
Lineage: Eukaryota; Metazoa; Nematoda; Chromadorea; Rhabditida; Cosmocercidae
Description: SSU rRNA
Rfam family: Eukaryotic small subunit ribosomal RNA
Source: RNAcentral
UAUUAUUUACUUGAUCUUGAUAUCCUACGUGGAUAACUGUGGUAAUUCUAGAGCUAAUACAUGCACCAAAGCUCCGAUUUUUGACGAGCGCAUCUAUUAGAUUAAAACCAAUCGGAUUUCGGUCCGUCAUUUGGUGACUCUGAAUAGCUAUGGCUGAUCGCAUGGUCUUGUACCGGCGACGUAUCUAUCAAGUGUCUGCCUUAUCAACUUUCGAUGGUAGUUUAUGUGCCUACCAUGGUUGUUACGGGUAACGGAGAAUAAGGGUUCGACUCCGGAGAGGGAGCCUGAGAAACGGCUACCACAUCCAAGGAAGGCAGCAGGCGCGCAAAUUACCCACUCUCGGCAUGAGGAGGUAGUGACGAAAAAUAACGAGACCGUUCUCUAUGAGGCCGGUUAUCGGAAUGGGUACAAUUUAAACCCGUUAACGAGGAUCUAUGAGAGGGCAAGUCUGGUGCCAGCAGCCGCGGUAAUUCCAGCUCUCAAAGUGUAUAUCGUCAUUGCUGCGGUUAAAAAGCUCGUAGUUGGAUCUGCGCCUCAGGACUCGGUCCGCCCACUGGGUGAGAACUGGGCUCCUAGGCUAAUACUGCUGGUUUUCCCUAUGUUGCCUUCACCGGUCGCGUAGGGUGGCUAGCGAGUUUACUUUGAAAAAAUUAGAGUGCUUCACGCGGGCUAUUGUCUGAAUACUCGUGCAUGGAAUAAUAGAAUAGGAUCUCGGUUCUAUUUUGUUGGUUUUCUGAUCUGAGAUAAUGGUUAAGAGGGACGGACGGGGGCAUUCGUAUCGCUGCGUGAGAGGUGAAAUUCUUGGACCGUAGCGAGACGUCCGACUGCGAAAGCAUUUGCCAAGAAUGUCUUCAUUAAUCAAGAACGAAAGUCAGAGGUUCGAA